RNAcentral lists this long non-coding RNA (295 nucleotides) under Zostera marina. RNAcentral's name for it is "long non-coding RNA (ZMAR_LNC004338)". The record is from RNAcentral. Lineage: Eukaryota; Viridiplantae; Streptophyta; Magnoliopsida; Alismatales; Zosteraceae.
UGUCCAGCCGGAUAUUGUUACCGCCACGACCCUCCUCUCUGGUUAUAUUCGGAACAACAACAUCUCUGAAGCCAUAAACGUUUUCAAGAAAAUGACAAUUAUUUCUAAUCUGACGUCGGAAGUUUACUCCACCUUCGUGAAAAAUCUCUGCAUCAAAUCACACCCACUUGAAGCUUUUGAUCUUAUAUUCGAAAUGUUGAAGAUUUCCGAUGUCAAAUUGGACGAUAAAACAUCUAACCUGGCCGUCUCUUCACUGCAUCACAUCGGUCAGCUUGCCAAAGCUAGAAAACUCCAA